UUUUUUUUUUUUUAAUUGUUUUUUUUUUCCGACAAAAAUCGAUUUGUGUAACUAGAAUCCUAGAUAUGUAGGACCGCUCAUAUUUGGUGGGAAUUAAAAUAAAAUUUUUAAUAAAUUUUAUAAAUGAUUGAAAAGUUGUAAUUCCCAUGAAAUGCGUAAUUAAAAUUAAACUUUUUUCUGAAACACUUUAUGACAAUGAAUGAAGAAGCGAUCCCACCAAUUCAUGAUGUCUUUAGCCUAUAUAGGGAUUUUUUUUUUUUUUUUCCAACGAGACACUCAAACUGGCAACUCAUAAUGGCCCGUGUUGGAUAAAAGUAUCAUUAAAGAAGGCAAGGUGAGCCUGUGAGGUACAUUUGAUAAAUGAAGGUUGCAUGCCAUAUGGUCCUUCAACAUCCUGCAACGAACCAAUUCUUUUGCACAAAUAUGUUAUUUAUUGUAAAUGUGUAUUGCAAAGUAUCAAUUUUUGAUAAUUAGCUGAAUUUUAGGGAAAACAAUCGUGCUUAGGCACUACCG
RNAcentral lists this long non-coding RNA (513 nucleotides) under Olea europaea (common olive). RNAcentral's name for it is "long non-coding RNA (OEUR_LNC005979)". The record is from RNAcentral. Lineage: Eukaryota; Viridiplantae; Streptophyta; Magnoliopsida; Lamiales; Oleaceae.